Molecule: long non-coding RNA, 633 nt
Filed under: Oryza sativa aus subgroup
Lineage: Eukaryota; Viridiplantae; Streptophyta; Magnoliopsida; Poales; Poaceae
Description: lncRNA OsN22_04G006960
Source: RNAcentral
GCGAGGGAGGAGCGAGAGGCAGAUGCGGAGGUUGUUGUGACGCAUUCGGCGUCUCUCGCGCGUGCAGGCUGUGGUCGGCGGGGAACACAGUGGGCAGCAGGCGUCGGCUUUGCGCAGGGAUUGCAGAGGGGGUGCACGGAGGGAGCCAGGGGCGGUCGGCCUCGCCUAGUCGCUUCGGGCGUCGGCUUUGACAGGGGGCGGCGGCUUCGGGUUGGCGAGGCGCACUGCGAUGCCGACUUUGCAGGCGGGAGACACGGAGGCAGGGGCGUCGGCUUUGCAGACAGCAGACGUAGGUCGGCGGCCUUGCAGACGGAGGAAGCAACGGUUGAGUUCGUAGCGUCUCGUCGCUCCGGGCAGAGGGCGGCGCCGGUUGGGCGCGGUGGCUACGAGGGCAGCGCUGGGCAUGGCAGGGCAUCAGGCAGAGGCGGGGCAGAGGCGAGCGUCUGCUUUGCACAGCCUUGCAGCGAGAUUCGCGGGCAGAGGAAGAAUAGGCGGCUUGGAGGCGACGACUUUCGGCUCGCAUCCUAUGUGUUCGAUGGAAUGCCUGCAAGGAAAGAGAGGGGAAAGAGGAAGAGAGAGAGAUGGGGUGCUGGGCCACUGGCAGGUGGGGUCCAGGGUGCUUGGGCCCACUGA